RNAcentral lists this ribosomal RNA (256 nucleotides) under uncultured bacterium. Its description in RNAcentral is "partial 16S ribosomal RNA". It matches the Rfam family "Bacterial small subunit ribosomal RNA", at positions 526 to 779 of the family's 1533-position model. The record is from RNAcentral.
CGUAGGGCGAAGCGUUGUCCGGAAUGAUUGGGCGUAAAGGGCGCGUAGGCGGCCCGGUAAGUCUGGAGUGAAAGUCCUGCUUUUAAGGUGGGAAUUGCUUUGGAUACUGUCGGGCUUGAGUGCAGGAGAGGUAAGUGGAAUUCCCCAGUGUAGCGGUGAAAAUGCGUAGAGAUUGGGAGGAACACCAGUGGCGAAGGCGACUUACUGGACUGUAACUGACGCUGAGGCGCGAAAAGUGUGGGGAGCAAACAGGAUU